CCUGGGAAAAACAAGGGGCCAUGUAGCAAGUUUUCAACGUGUCAAGGUUUACAGCUUCUGAUUAAACAUUUUGCGACGUGUAAGAGAAGGGUGAAUGGAGGAUGUCUACGAUGCAAAAGAAUGUGGCAACUCCUGAGGUUACACUCCUCAAUUUGUGAACAACCUGAUGUAUGCAGGGUUCCUCUGUGCAGGUAAUAGAAGUCUUCAUAAUUGACUGUCUCCCACUAUAUGGUUCGUGUUCAUUUAUCUAUAAAGCGGGUCCCAUAUUAAGUGUUCUGUCUCCUUUAGCUAUCCCAACAUGUUUGCUGUGCUAAAGUUGGAUCGAAUUUGGUUUGAAAAACUGACAAAGCAAUUGCUAGCUGUUUGUGGGAUCCGCUCUCGUCCCUGUUUUGUUUUAGGUAUUUGAUUUCAUGAAUUCAACUGUCAGCUAAGGGUGGAUUCUAAUAGAUAUGGCAUUUAUCUUCGUGAAAUAGAUAAUAGGAUUGAGUAGAAAGAAACGUGAUUGAGCCAGCGACUUGUACGCUUCCUUGGAAGAUUGAAUAAGCUGACAUCUAGAUAUUCACCGACUUCGUUUUGACAUUUCGUUUAACCGUGUUGCUAAUUAGCUUGAUGGAAAUUAGAUGUUUAAUGAAUAAUUCCAUAAUUUCUUGUCACUUUCAUCUAAAAAUUUCCUCUGAAAUGUUAUUAAUAUGUCUUUUAAGUCCGGCAGUAAAUUGGACAUUGAUUUUUCUCCUGCGUUGUUCUCUUAGAACUUUCGGUAAUCGCGUGUUGGUUGCUGCUUGAUGGCGCUUUAUAACUUGACCAGUUUAUGUGCAUCUAGAAACAUUAUUGUUGUCCAUCAUUUGUUUACCAGGCAAAAAGACGUGGCCCACAUGCAUACUGAGCUAAUUUCAAUUAGUAUAUGCAUCAUAUAGUCACUGUUUCUGAGUAUCUAUCUAUUUCAGUUUGAUGUUUAACCAAGUAGCAAAACUUCAUUGUAUUACAGGCAAUUCAAAUUGAAGGCACAGCAAGAGAAGAAAGGUGAAGAUGCGAGAUGGAAAUUACUGGUGAGAAAGGUAAUUUCUGCGAAAGCAUUAUCUUCCUUGUCCCUGCCGAAGAGGAAGAGAGAAGAGGAACCAAGGCUGAACCUAAGCCAUCCUGGAAUGAGAAGCUUUACGCUAUGAGAUAAAAUGUUGAAUAUUCAAAAGAAGGACAAGAGUGUUUAGAUUUGGUCCAGUCCAGACGGCAAAUAUUGCAAGUGAUGGCAAUUUUGUAAAUUUACCCGCUCAACACCCUUUUCUUUGUUUGGCAGCGAAAAGUGUAAGUAGAUGGGAUGAUCUUUAAUCAUGGGGUCAAAUAUCUCUCCUGUAUGAAAGCUGCUGUCU
RNAcentral lists this long non-coding RNA (1364 nucleotides) under Coffea arabica (coffee). Its description in RNAcentral is "long non-coding RNA (CARA_LNC002798)". Lineage: Eukaryota; Viridiplantae; Streptophyta; Magnoliopsida; Gentianales; Rubiaceae. The record is from RNAcentral.